GUUUUGUAUAAUGAGUUGGGGGUUGAUCUUAGCGAGUUUAAGAAAGGCAUGCUGACACUUUCAGACCCGGACAUACUGGACAUUAGGCAGUUGAAGCACUGGUUGACUACUAGUUUCCGGCUGGAUCCUGAAGUAUGUUCUGUGAGUAUUCAUGCAUUGUGGACCAAAUCCUGUAAAAUUGUCAAGUGGGAGUUGAUGCCGAUAGAUAGGAGCC
Molecule: long non-coding RNA, 214 nt
Filed under: Hordeum vulgare
Lineage: Eukaryota; Viridiplantae; Streptophyta; Magnoliopsida; Poales; Poaceae
Description: long non-coding RNA (HVUL_LNC008890)
Source: RNAcentral